Molecule: ribosomal RNA, 422 nt
Filed under: uncultured bacterium
Lineage: Bacteria
Description: bacterial SSU rRNA
Rfam family: Bacterial small subunit ribosomal RNA
Source: RNAcentral
UAAGGAAUAUUGGACAAUGGAGGCAACUCUGAUCCAGCCAUGCCGCGUGAAGGAAUAAGGCCCUAUGGGUUGUAAACUUCUUUUAGACGGGACAAAACCCCUUUACGUGUAAAGGGUUGAUGGUACUGUCAGAAUAAGCAUCGGCUAACUUCGUGCUAGCAGCCGCGGUAAUACGAAGGAUGCAAGCGUUAUCCGGAAUUAUUGGGUUUAAAGGGUGCGUAGGCGGACUAAUAAGUCAGUGGUGAAAGCCUGCAGCUUAACUGCAGAAUUGCCAUUGAUACUGUUAGUUUUGAGUACAGUUGAGGUAGGCGGAAUGUGUCAUGUAGCGGUGAAAUGCUUAGAUAUGACACAGAACACCUAUUGCGAAGGCAGCUUGCUAAGCUGUAACUGACGCUGAGGCACGAAAGCGUGGGGAGCAAACA